RNAcentral lists this ribosomal RNA (432 nucleotides) under uncultured bacterium. Its description in RNAcentral is "bacterial SSU rRNA". It matches the Rfam family "Bacterial small subunit ribosomal RNA", at positions 29 to 507 of the family's 1533-position model. The record is from RNAcentral.
AACGAACGCUGGCGGCAUGCCUAACACAUGCAAGUCGAACGAUGCCUUCGGGCAUAGUGGCGCACGGGUGCGUAACGCGUGGGAAUCUGCCCUUGGGUUCGGAAUAACUCAGAGAAAUUUGAGCUAAUACCGGAUGAUGACGUAAGUCCAAAGAUUUAUCGCCCAAGGAUGAGCCCGCGUAAGAUUAGCUAGUUGGUGGGGUAAAGCCUACCAAGGCGACGAUCUUUAGCUGGUCUGAGAGGAUGAUCAGCCACACUGGGACUGAGACACGGCCCAGACUCCUACGGGAGGCAGCAGUGGGGAAUAUUGGACAAUGGGCGAAAGCCUGAUCCAGCAAUGCCGCGUGAGUGAUGAAGGCCUUAGGGUUGUAAAGCUCUUUUACCAGGGAUGAUAAUGACAGUACCUGGAGAAUAAGCUCCGGCUAACUCCGUG